CCUACGGGCGACAGCAGUGAGGAAUAUUGGUCAAUGGGCUUACGCCUGAACCAGCCAAGUCGCGUGAGGGAAGACUGCCCUAUGGGUUGUAAGCCUCUUUUGCCAGGGAGCAACGCCGGCUACGUGUAGCCGGACUGAGAGUACCUGAAGAAAAAGCAUCGGCAAACUCCGUGCCAGCCGCCGCGGUCAUACGGAGGAUGCGAGCGUUCUCCGGAUUUAUUGGGUUAAAGGGGUGCGUAGGCGGAAUGCCAAGUCAGCGGUAAAAUCGCGGGGCUCAACCUCGCUCCGCCGUUGAAACUGGCGUUCUUGAGUGGGCGAGAGGUAUGCGGAAUGCGUGGUGUAGCGGUGAAAUGCAUAGAUAUCACGCAGAACACCGAUUGCGAAGGCAGCAUACCGGCGCCCAACUGACGCUGAAGCACGAAAGCGUGGGUAUCGAACAGGAUUAGAUACCCUUGUAGUC
This 460-nucleotide ribosomal RNA is filed under the name uncultured bacterium. RNAcentral describes it as "partial 16S ribosomal RNA". It matches the Rfam family "Bacterial small subunit ribosomal RNA", at positions 338 to 795 of the family's 1533-position model. The record is from RNAcentral.